This 1198-nucleotide ribosomal RNA is filed under the name Enterococcus faecium. RNAcentral's name for it is "partial 23S ribosomal RNA". It matches the Rfam family "Bacterial large subunit ribosomal RNA", at positions 1374 to 2577 of the family's 2925-position model. Lineage: Bacteria; Bacillati; Bacillota; Bacilli; Lactobacillales; Enterococcaceae. The record is from RNAcentral.
CCAGGGUUAGUCGGGACCUAAGCCGAGGCCGACAGGCGUAGGCGAUGGAUAACAGGUUGAUAUUCCUGUACCCGUUGUUUUUGUUUGAGCAAUGGAGGGACGCAGGAGGCUAAGGAAUGCAGACGAUUGGAAAUGUCUGUCCAAGCAGUAAGUCUGAAGAGGAGUCAAAUGCUUCUUUUCUUAAGGACAAGCUGUGAUGGGGAGGGAAAUAAUAGUACCGAAGUUCCUGAUGUCACACUGCCGAGAAAAGCUUCUAGUGAGAAAACAGCGGCCCGUACCGCAAACCGACACAGGUAGUCGAGGAGAGAAUCCUAAGGUGAGCGAGAGAACUCUCGUUAAGGAACUCGGCAAAAUGACCCCGUAACUUCGGGAGAAGGGGUGCUGAUCAUACGAUCAGCCGCAGUGAAUAGGCCCAAGCGACUGUUUAUCAAAAACACAGGUCUCUGCAAAAUCGUAAGAUGAAGUAUAGGGGCUGACGCCUGCCCGGUGCUGGAAGGUUAAGAGGAGUGCUUAGCGCAAGCGAAGGUACGAAUUGAAGCCCCAGUAAACGGCGGCCGUAACUAUAACGGUCCUAAGGUAGCGAAAUUCCUUGUCGGGUAAGUUCCGACCCGCACGAAAGGCGUAACGAUUUGGGCACUGUCUCAACGAGAGACUCGGUGAAAUUUUAGUACCUGUGAAGAUGCAGGUUACCCGCGACAGGACGGAAAGACCCCAUGGAGCUUUACUGUAGUUUGAUAUUGAGUGUCUGUACCGCAUGUACAGGAUAGGUAGGAGCCGUAGAAAUCGGAACGCUAGUUUCGAUGGAGGCGCUGGUGGGAUACUACCCCUGCGUUAUGGCCACUCUAACCCGCACCACUAAUCGUGGUGGGAGACAGUGUCAGAUGGGCAGUUUGACUGGGGCGGUCGCCUCCUAAAAGGUAACGGAGGCGCCCAAAGGUUCCCUCAGAAUGGUUGGAAAUCAUUCGAAGAGUGUAAAGGCAGAAGGGAGCUUGACUGCGAGACCAACAAGUCGAGCAGGGACGAAAGUCGGGCUUAGUGAUCCGGUGGUUCCGCAUGGAAGGGCCAUCGCUCAACGGAUAAAAGCUACCCUGGGGAUAACAGGCUUAUCUCCCCCAAGAGUCCACAUCGACGGGGAGGUUUGGCACCUCGAUGUCGGCUCGUCGCAUCCUGAGGCUGUAGUCGGUCCCAAGGGUUGGGC